CAGCCGCACGGUAAUACCGAGGGUGCGAGCGUUAAUCGGAUUUACUGGGCGUAAAGCGUGCGUAGGCGGCUUCUUAAGUCGGAUGUGAAAUCCCUGAGCUUAACUUAGGAAUUGCAUUCGAUACUGGGAAGCUAGAGUAUGGGAGAGGAUGGUAGAAUUCCAGGUGUAGCGGUGAAAUGCGUAGAGAUCUGGAGGAAUACCGAUGGCGAAGGCAGCCAUCUGGCCUAAUACUGACGCUGAGGUACGAAAGCAUGGGGAGCAAACAGGAUUAGAUACCCGGGUAGUCCCUGUCUCUUAUACA
RNAcentral lists this ribosomal RNA (301 nucleotides) under uncultured bacterium. RNAcentral describes it as "partial 16S ribosomal RNA". It matches the Rfam family "Bacterial small subunit ribosomal RNA", at positions 512 to 808 of the family's 1533-position model. The record is from RNAcentral.